GAGCAAAAUGUACAACGUGGCGCUUGGUAUUCAAAAUGUCCGAAUUUUGGACGUCAAUUUUAGGCAGCAAACUUUAAUUUUAUCAGCAAGGCAGGCAUACAGACAAAAUGUGGAUGAUAUACAAAGCGAGGCGGCUGGUCACAGGUCAACGCUGAGCUUUUUGUCAUCACUCAAGCCAUUGACCUGACAGCAAGAGAACGUCAAGACUGUUCAGCCAUUUGGCCAUAAGAUAUUGGUUAACAAGUGCAACUGCCUCAUGUACAUUGACAUGCAGAAGGAGUGCCCUGUCCCAUCUGGAACAACAGGGUCUCGGCUUUGGCCAAAAGGUUGAAGAGAGACACUUCUUUCAUAGAUGCCUGCAGAAGGGGCGUCAAAUCCACUUGGAUCAAGACUUCUUGGACUUGUCAAAACAACCCCAAGAGUGUCUAGCACAGCCACAGCAGUUUGCCCUCAUCGUGUAACCAUCAACGGAGGUCCAGGAACCAGAAGAGGUCGGCGUGCACCUGCUCCACUUCGCUGCGCGUGCCGAUGGCCAUUAGGGAACACAGCACAGGUUGGUGGGCUGCAUCAAUGUUACAUUGGUUGUACUUGUGACCGGCGGAGCAAUGAAUUCAGGAAGGUUAGAAAGGGGUGAGUUGUUAUCAAGUCAUUUUCUUCUUGUUUCAAGAAUGUUUCAUGUCACUUCUUACAUGUAGAUGCAUGGAUCCAUGCAGUUUUCAGCAAAUUUUCACGCGCACCACCAAAACGUCAAAUCAGUAAUUUACAAAGAAAAUAAAUUUGUCCGUUUUUGUUCCAGCUUAUACCAGUUCCUUGCAUUUUUGUACUAUUCCAAUUCAGUUGCUGCAUGUACUAGCUGCGUUUUAUAUGCCCCACCAAACAUCAACAGAAGUUAAAAGCAAGAAAUCAAAAUAAAUAUGGCGCUGUGCAAAACUGUACAAUUUAUAUUGGUCAAUUUAUUCACACGUGAAAAUCCUGGAUCUGCAAACAUGUAUAAUUUGUGGUUGUCAAGUUUCAAGUUUUUUUGGUCAGUUUAAAGUCACAUUUCACAUCAUAACAAUGUCACAAGUCCAGCUUCAUGUUGGCAUGUUUUUACUUCAAGAGUUUAGAGUGGACAGGUAACGUUGAACUUGAAGGAAUACACUUGGCUUAGGAGGUGCUGCCUGUUGUCCGAUUUUUGGAUGAGGUCCUGCUUAGUCAAUAUCAUUUUUAAAGUUUUAAGUCAAAAUAGUCAACCAAGACAUCAACAAUAACUUUUCAUCACCUAAUUCUUCUUUUAUUUAGUAUCAACAAGAUUUUAUCAAAAUGAUUACGACAGUGGAUCAAUUCAUUAAUUUAUCAACAAAAUAUUAGUUAUUACUUGCAAACACUCAAUGGGUCCAUCUUGUCUCAUCAUUCCGAACCUGCAGUCGGAAUUAAAAAAAAAAUUUUUUCACAGCUGAACAAACAUAAUAUUUUUGUAUUCAUUUACUUCAUGCCUCGCAAUUAUGAAGAGUCACUUCUGGCUUUUUAACCCAUACUUUCAAGGAUUCUUACAGAACUCAAUUUUAUAUCAAAUUAGGACCUCUUCAACAUAAAUCAAGACCCUUGUAAUUCAAUAGCUGUAUGUAUUCCUUCAGGUUUGACAGUGCUUGUCCAAUUUUUAACGCUUGAAGUAAAAAUUUUCCAACAUGACACUUGACUUGUAACUUUGUUUUGAAACGUGACUUGGAAGAGACUAAAAAAACUUGAUAUAGUACAGUGACAUGAAACUUUCUUGAGACUUGAAGAAAAUGACCAGAUAACGACUCCUCCCCUUUUUGCCUUUCUUAAU
Long non-coding RNA from Acanthaster planci (crown-of-thorns starfish), 1810 nucleotides. RefSeq lists it as uncharacterized. Lineage: Eukaryota; Metazoa; Echinodermata; Asteroidea; Valvatida; Acanthasteridae. The record is from RefSeq and is a predicted model, not a curated record.